UACGUAGGGCGCAAGCGUUGUCCGGCAUUAUUGGGCGUAAAGAGCUCGUAGGCGGUUUGUCGCGUCUGUCGUGAAAGCUUGGGGCUUAACCCCAAGUCUGCGGUGGAUACGGGCAGACUAGAGGCAGGUAGGGGAGAACGGAAUUCCCGGUGUAGCGGUGAAAUGCGCAGAUAUCGGGAGGAACACCGGUGGCGAAGGCGGCGUCCUGGACCAACACUGACACUGAUGAGCGAAAGCCAGGGGAGCAAACGGG
RNAcentral lists this ribosomal RNA (253 nucleotides) under uncultured bacterium. Its description in RNAcentral is "partial 16S ribosomal RNA". It matches the Rfam family "Bacterial small subunit ribosomal RNA", at positions 524 to 776 of the family's 1533-position model. The record is from RNAcentral.